AGUCGAACGGCAGCACGGACUUCGGUCUGGUGGCGAGUGGCGAACGGGUGAGUAAUGUAUCAGACGUGCCUAGUAGCGGGGGAUAACUACGCGAAAGCGCAGCUAAUACCGCAUGCUACGCCCUUCCAGGGGGAAAGCGGGGGACCUUCGGGCCUGCCUAUUAGAGCGGCCGAUAUCGGAUUAGCUAGUUGGUGGGGUAACGGCUCACCAAGGCGACGAUCCGUAGCUGGUUUGAGAGGACGACCAGCCACACUGGGACUGAGACACGGCCCAGACUCCUACGGGAGGCAGCAGUGAAAUUUUGGACAAUGGGGAAACCCUGAUCCGUCAUCCCGCGUGUGCGAUGAAGGCCUUCGGGUUGUAAAGCACUUUUGGCAGGAAAGAAACAGCACGGGAUAAUACCCCGUGCAACUGACGGUACCUGCAGAAUAAGCACCGGCUAACUACGUGCCAACAGCCGCGGUAAUACGUAGAGGGUGCAAGCGUUAAUCGGAAUUGCUGGGCGUAAAGCGUGCGCAGGCGGUUCGGAAAAGAAAGAUGUGAAAUCCCAGAGCUUAACUGGAACUGCAUUUUUAACUACCGAGCUAGAGUGUGUCAAGAGGGAGGUGGAAUUCCGCGUGUAGCAGUGAAAUGCGUAGAUAUGCGGAGAGCUCUCUGAUAGUGGCUCGGAUUCUUUGACGCUCUUACAGCAGUGAGAACAACAAGAUUGAUACCUAGUGAUCCACGCCCUAAACGAUCGCUUCGCUGUUGGGCCUUCAGACCUUCAGGCAUGCAGCUAACGCGUGCAGUUGGUACUUCAGAUGCGAUUCACCGUUAAACUCAAGAUGACGGAGGUUCGCACAAGCGGUGGAUGAUGUGGAUUAAUUCGAUACAACGCGAAAAACCUUACCUACCCAUGACAUGUCUGGAAUCCCGAAGAGAUUUGGGAGUGCUCGCAAGAGAACCGGAACACAGGUGCUCAUGGCUGUCGUCAGCUCGUGUCGUGAGAUGUUGGGUUAAGUCCCGCAACGAGCGCAACCCUUGUCAUUAGUUGCUACGAAAGGGCACUCUAAUGAGACUGCCGGUGACAAACCGGAGGAAGGUGGGGAUGACGUCAUGGCCCUUAUGGGUAGGGCUUCACACGUCAUGCAAUGGUCGGGACAGAGGGUCGCCAACCCGCGAGGGGAGCCAAUCCCGAAACCCGAUCGUAGUCCGGAUCGCAGUCUGCAACUCGACUGCGUGAAGUCAGAAUCGCUAGUAAUCGCGGAUCAGCAUGUCGCGGUGAAUACGUUCCCGGGUCUUGUACACACCGCCCGUCACACCAUGGGAGUGGGUUUUACCAGAAGUAGUUAGCCUAACCGUAAGGAGGGCGAUUACCACGGUAGGAUUCAUGACUGGUGAAGUCGUAACAAGGUAG
This 1396-nucleotide ribosomal RNA is filed under the name uncultured Bordetella sp. RNAcentral describes it as "partial 16S-23S ribosomal RNA intergenic spacer". It matches the Rfam family "Bacterial small subunit ribosomal RNA". The record is from RNAcentral. Lineage: Bacteria; Pseudomonadati; Pseudomonadota; Betaproteobacteria; Burkholderiales; Alcaligenaceae.